UGAAUACGAGACGCUAAGGCGUCGAAGUAGUGUAUGUCAUACUUCCAAGAAAAGCUUGCACUGUCAUAGAUAAAAAACGCCUGUACCAUAACCGACACAGGUGGGUAGGUAGAGUAUACUAAGGGGCGCGAGAUAACUCUCUCUAAGGAACUCGGCAAAAUAACUCUGUAACUUCGGGAGAAGGAGUGCCUUAUUCGUAAGGUUGCAAUAACAAGAUCCAAGCAACUGUUUAUCAAAAACACAGGUCUCCGCUAAGUCGUAAGACGAUGUAUGGGGGCUGACGCCUGCCCAGUGCCAGAAGGUUAAAGAAGUUGGUUAGCAAUUGCGAAGCUGAUAACUGAAGCCCUGGUGAACGGCGGCCGUAACGAUAACGGUCCUAAGGUAGCGAAAUUCCUUGUCGGGUAAGUUCCGACCCGCACGAAAGGCGUAAUGAUUUGGAUACUGUCUCGGAGAGGGGCUCGGUGAAAUAGACUUGUCUGUGAAGAUGCGGACUACCUGCACCAGGACAGAAAGGCCCUAUGAAGCUUUACUGUAACUUGAAAUUGAAAUUGGACUUUAUUCGCGCAGCAUAGGUGGGAGGCGUUGAUUAUAAUCUUGCGGGAUUAUUGGAGCCAUCAGUGAGAUACCACUCUUGUAAUGUUAGAUUUCUAACUUUGAAUCAUUAUCUGGUCAAAGAACAGUUUCAGGCGGGCAGUUUGACUGGGGCGGUCGCCUCCUAAACGGUAACGGAGGCGUACAAAGGUUUCCUCUGAACGGUUAGAAAUCGUAUCUAGAGUGUAAAGGCAUAAGGAAGCUUGACUGUGAGACCUACAAGUCGAGCAGGGACGAAAGUCGGUCUUAGUGAUCUGACGGUACUGAGUGGAAAGGCCGUCACUCAACGGAUAAAAGUUACUCUAGGAUAACAGGCUGAUCUCCCCCAAGAGUUCACAUCGACGGGGAGGUUUGGCACCUCGAUGUCGGCUCAUCGCAUCCUGGGGCGGUAGUACGUCCCAAGGGUUGGGCUGUUCGCCCAUGAAAGCGGUACGCGAGCUGGGUUCAGAACGUCGUGAGACAGUUCGGUCCAUAUCCGGUGUAGGCGUUAGAAUAUUGAGAGGAGCCUUCUUAGUACGAGAGGACCGAGAAGGACAUACCUCUGGUGUACCAGUUAUCGUGCCAACGGUAAACGCUGGGUAGCUAUGUAUGGAGUGGAUAACCGCUGAAAGCAUCUAAGUGGGAAGCCCACCUCAAGAUAAGUAUUCUCAU
RNAcentral lists this ribosomal RNA (1242 nucleotides) under metagenome. RNAcentral describes it as "bacterial LSU rRNA". It matches the Rfam family "Bacterial large subunit ribosomal RNA", at positions 1564 to 2817 of the family's 2925-position model. The record is from RNAcentral.